Molecule: long non-coding RNA, 2628 nt
Filed under: Heterocephalus glaber (naked mole-rat)
Lineage: Eukaryota; Metazoa; Chordata; Mammalia; Rodentia; Bathyergidae
Description: lncRNA (ENSHGLG00000036223.1)
Source: RNAcentral
GGCAACUGUCAGCAGGCGAUGGCUUGCGCUGUAUUCUGAACUGUUUGGGUCUCUGCCAGCCCUGUCCCCAGCCAAUGCCCUCUUGGCCAUUGUGUCAAUUAUGGCUGAUGGUUAUCUUGCUUGUUUAUCCAGUCGCUGUAUAGACUGACUUUCUGAAUGUCAGGGUCUGACUGUUUCCAUAACAGGAAGCCACUGGCUAUACUACUGCAUGAAGAAACUCCAGCCUACACAAUAGAAUCCCAACAAAACCUUAAACCCUCAUUGAAUCCAGCUCUUAUUGUUUCAUUGAUAGGCCGAAUCCUGUAUUUACAGUCCUGGAUUUACAGUUUACAGGCCUGUGUGUGUGUGUGUGCGCACGCGCGCACACACACGUGUAGGUUUGACAAGGCCAACCCUGGCUUUUCACCUUCCUCAGUGAACCUCAGCUUAGACUCGGCCGCCAGCAUUCCCCGGACAUAGGGGAGGGGUGCAGGCCAGCAGAACCCAGGCCCUGAAGAGCUUCCUCCUGGUCCUCCACGGCUGGCCCUGCAGUCAGAGGAAGCUGAGCUUCUGUUUAUCCUGGGCCUCAGUCACAGUAGAACAAAUGCUUCGGUCAGCAUGGAACCCAGGCGCCACAAGCUCUGCUGAGGAAAGACAUCAAAGGGAGCCCUGGGCUCCAUCUGUCACUCAUGUCUGUUAUCUUCCCGGGGCCGGGGGGGUGUCCCAUGGCUGGGGAGUUUUCAAGAAGCUCUCUGGGAACCUGUUAAAUAGCCUCCAUUCCUUUUCAACUUUAUCUGCUUCUCCCCUCCCAAACUUGGAGAAGAAAAUCAACCCACACGGUGCUAAAGGAGUCUGACCUCCAUGGAAAGCUGUCUAUUCCCGAACAGACUUGGAGCAGCAAAUGAGGGAGGCAACUGGUCUACCCUAAGAGUCUGGCAGAAGCCUGGGAGAGAAGGAAGCAGGGUAGCUGAUCUCAGAGGGAGCCGGAAGAUAAUUUGGACAUCACUUUGCAGGACAAGCAGAGAAGGACCCUGAAUGCACAGACUCCGGAUGGUCCCUGGCCUCACCUCACAGAGACCUGGGGACCUUGUGUGGGCCCCGGGCUGCAUCUCCAGCCCCACCCCAUGCUUGGAGACCAGGCUUCCCUGAGGACAGCAGGAUGUGUUCUGGCUACACCAGCACCCGCCGGCCGGCCUCUGGGAAAGGCCUGGCAGGGCCGAUUGUGCGGCAGGACACCUGGCCGGUCUGCAGCCUCGGUGACGGCCUCAGCGAAGGCCAUGCUUUCCUGUGCAGCCGCUGCAGCGUGUAGGAUGCUGAUAAGGGAACAAUGCAGCAGAGGAAAAGUGGCAGCCUUGGGACAAUGAGCGGCGGCGGGGACUCUCCCGGGCCGCACAGUCCGAGGAAGGAUUUGCAGGUCCCAGGGGCCGGGCAGGAGACUGCUCUGCGGCCAACAGUUGGGGGCACCCAGGGCUCUCCCAGGAGCCAUGCCCCUCCUCUGGCGCCUGCUCAUUCCCUCUAGGGGCCCUUCCUCCAAGGAGGGGAGACUUACAGACAGUGAGCCACUGACCCACGAAGGGGCCCUGCAGCUUCCUGGGGUCGGGGAUGGCCUGCAAGGCAAGGGCUCCCAGGAGCGCCCUGUGCCAGUGCCCUCCAGCUCCCUCCUACCCUUGACCUUAACCCUUUCGGGCACCAGAGACACUAGAUGGAUACCCGGGGCCUCGGCCAAGCAUGAGGCCAACUUGUGGCAAUGGCUAAAUCCCCUGCAGGUGCCCAGGGAGGGUCGCCAAGAGAAGCUGCCUCUGCCUCAGGCAGGACAGGCAGCUGAUGACAGGGGUGCUGUGGUCACUACAGCUCGUGGAUAAGUGUGCACAUGCAGUCCAUCCUCUGGCCAGAACUGGGGACUGCAGGAGGAUGGCACGGGGCAGGUGGAGACCAGGGAAGGGAUAUUGUCCCUGUGCCCUCUCCAGGUCACUAGAAAGGGCUUGCUUGUGCACAGCCCAGCCCCACCUUCCACCCAACAGGCGUUAGAGUCACCUAGGAGGUGCAAACAAUAUAACACGAGAACCCAAGAAGACCAGGGGGCUAAAAUGGAGCCGGAAGUGAGGGGCAGGUCACAGAAGUGAGCGCUGUGGCUAUGAAGCCCAGGGCCAACCAGACACCCAUGACAUGACAGAGUCUUCAUGAAAGAAAACACCCCUGUUACACAAAACACCGCCCGACCGGAGGAGAAAAAACAUCAAAGUGUUAUUUCUGAUUCUCAAUGCACGGAGUAGUUCUUGCCCAGUGUCUUCCUGGAGAGAAGUUGGCAAAAGGCGAUGGCUGGCUUUUCCAGGUAGCCUCACUGUGACAGGCAGGAAGACAGGGCGUUGCAGAGCUGGCUGGAGGAACACAUGGGACCUGCUAAUGACGAGAUCCCAGGACAGUGUCAGAUGAUUCCCAUGGCCCGUAUCUAGACCUCUCCAGGGUUCCCAAGACGCGGACAGCAUAGAAGGACACAGGUGCACGAAGAACCCACUACUGUGUCCUUUUCCGGGAGCCCACCCUGUGUCUCCCAGACCCAGAGAGUACUUUGAUUUUUGCUUUUUAUCUUUUCCUCUCUUUUUUUCCUCUCCCCUUCACCCUUCACUUUUCAAAUAAACUUUGGCAUUG